UACGUAGGUGGCAAGCGUUAUCCGGAUUUAUUGGGCGUAAAGGGAACGCAGGCGGUCUUUUAAGUCUGAUGUGAAAGCCUUCGGCUUAACCGGAGUAGUGCAUUGGAAACUGGGAGACUUGAGUGCAGAAGAGGAGAGUGGAACUCCAUGUGUAGCGGUGAAAUGCGUAGAUAUAUGGAAGAACCCCAGUGGCGAAGGCGAUUCUCUGGACUGUAACUGACGCUGAGGCUCGAAAGCGUGGGGAGCAAACAGG
This 253-nucleotide ribosomal RNA is filed under the name uncultured bacterium. Its description in RNAcentral is "partial 16S ribosomal RNA". It matches the Rfam family "Bacterial small subunit ribosomal RNA", at positions 524 to 776 of the family's 1533-position model. The record is from RNAcentral.